RNAcentral lists this ribosomal RNA (443 nucleotides) under uncultured bacterium. RNAcentral's name for it is "partial 16S ribosomal RNA". It matches the Rfam family "Bacterial small subunit ribosomal RNA", at positions 28 to 507 of the family's 1533-position model. The record is from RNAcentral.
GAUGAACGCUGGCGGCAUGCCUAACACAUGCAAGUCGAUCGGUAAGGCUCUUCGGAGUACACGAGAGGCGGACGGCUGAGUAACGCGUAGGAACACACCCUGCAGUGAGGGAUAAGACACCGAAAGGUGUUCUAAUACCGCAUACGGUCUUCGGAUUAAAGCAUUUAUGCGCUGAAGGAGUGGCCUGCGCCAUAUUAGAUAGUUGGUGAGGUAAUGGCUCACCAAGUCGAUGAUGUGUAGCUGGUCUGAGAGGAUGAUCAGCCAGACUGGAACUGAGACACGGUCCAGACUCCUACGGGAGGCAGCAGUGAGGAAUAUUUCACAAUGAGCGAAAGCUUGAUGGAGCAAUGCCGCGUGCAGGAUGAAGGCCCUCGGGUUGUAAACUGCUUUUAUAAGAGAAGAUUAUGACGGUAACUUAUGAAUAAGAGACGGCUAACUACGUG